This is a long non-coding RNA of Aptenodytes forsteri (emperor penguin), 345 nucleotides long. RefSeq lists it as uncharacterized. The record is from RefSeq and is a predicted model, not a curated record. NCBI's taxonomy places the organism in Eukaryota, Metazoa, Chordata, Aves, Sphenisciformes, Spheniscidae. The transcript has 2 exons.
GGGAGCGUAAGCUAACAAAAACGCAUCGAACGCCUGCGCUUGAGACGCAGCCCAGACAUCAAAGUGCAGCCUCAGAUUUCCCUGCCCUGAUUACAUGCCAGCAACUUCAUGAGGUCAGGAAGAACUGUCCCGGUUAGGAAAGUGAACAAAGACGGUGUUCUGCUCUGGGCUUGCAGGAAGACUGUGAUAGAGAAAUUGAACACAUCUCUUGUCAAUACUCUGCCGGUACCCUGACCCACUGCAUCAUGCUUCUUUCCAUUUGCACACUGUUUGUUUGCUAAUAAAAAUUAAUACAGAAUGUUCCCACCUGAAGACAUCUCAGCUGUCAAAAUACAGUACUAAAUG